RNAcentral lists this transfer RNA (91 nucleotides) under Sus scrofa (pig). It matches the Rfam family "tRNA". From Rfam's summary of the family: Transfer RNA (tRNA) molecules are approximately 80 nucleotides in length. Their secondary structure includes four short double-helical elements and three loops (D, anti-codon, and T loops). Further hydrogen bonds mediate the characteristic L-shaped molecular structure. tRNAs have two regions of fundamental functional importance: the anti-codon, which is responsible for specific mRNA codon recognition, and the 3' end, to which the tRNAs corresponding amino acid is attached (by aminoacyl-tRNA synthetases). tRNAs cope with the degeneracy of the genetic code in two manners: having more than one tRNA (with a specific anti-codon) for a particular amino acid; and 'wobble' base-pairing, i.e. permitting non-standard base-pairing at the 3rd anti-codon position. The record is from Rfam by way of RNAcentral. Lineage: Eukaryota; Metazoa; Chordata; Mammalia; Artiodactyla; Suidae.
UUCCCGGUGGCCUAGCAGGUAAGGAUCAGGCAUUGUCACUGCUAUGGCUCAGGUCACUGCUGUGGUGCAGGUUCAAUCCCUGCCCGGGAAC